Molecule: long non-coding RNA, 556 nt
Organism: Physella acuta
Lineage: Eukaryota; Metazoa; Mollusca; Gastropoda; Physidae
Source: RefSeq, a predicted model, not a curated record
GCUACAUAUUAGCCGCAACUUGUGUUCAUGACUUCACCAUUGUUUUUUAAGCGGAGUCACAUUUUGUUACUAUAUUGGAACUAGAGUGAAUAAAUCAAGUGCCAAACAGCUUAGAACUUAGGAUUACUCCUUCAGUCAAAUUUAUCCCCACGAAAUGACUAGAACUGAUUCUAGUUAGUAAAAGAAAACAUUGGACGGCGUGGCAUACCAGUAGAGAGCGGUAGAAAGAUGCGUCCCAGAAUUCAGCUGAGGUUUGUUGGAGAACAGAUGAAAUAUUUGGAAGAACAAAUGCAAUUGAUGGAACCUGUUAUUGGCUUGAUGAAAAAUGCAUUGGAAAAAAGUAAGACGUGGAUAGAAGAUGAAAAUGACAACCCGUCUAUCACAUACAUAGAGCUUUGCCAUGAGCUUGCAUCAGCGACCACGGCCUUGUUGGAUGUAGCUUCAAACAUUUUAAGUAAACAUUGAAUAAAAUAAGUCUGUCUAAUUUAUAUAAUCAGUUAUGAACUAAAGCUAAAAGCUAAUUGCAAUUUUAAUUCAACUUAUUAUGUAUACUUUU